AGCAGACCACUAUCUGCUGUAUCCAUCAAGCGCUGUGCUGACAGGGCAAUCUUGUGACUAUUGUGGGAGGGACAUUUCAAUCAUAUGUGAAAUAUCCUGUUUGGGGGUAUAUAACUACUCUGUGCACCCCACUUCUUCAGUGCCCUUUCUUCCUUUGGGAAGAAGGGCCCCAGGCCAUGGUCCUCAUAAAGCUUUGUUUAAUUUUCUCUUGCCAUUCUGUCUCAUGUGAAUUUAAUUUGUUCUCUGGCUGGACGAACCCACUUUGGAUAGAGGAAAUGUCUUCCUCCUCUACAGGUUCCUCAUGCUAAGGACCAGCAGGCAAGAGAAAGAUCUGUCGACGAAAAUAAUCCAUAACCAAUCUGUAAAUGAAAAUUUGGAUCCUGGCGGGGGUAAUUGACUCCUAUCAAGAGGCGGUGGAACUGCUGUUUUACAACUUUCAGUACUGUCUUGUGCAAUUUUGAUGGCAAAUGGAUAAGCACAGCAGGUGCAGCCUGAGAGGAGCAUGGAAAGAGGUCCACCAAUGUACUGAAGGAGCUACUCUCAGAACUCAUAUGAAGAAAGUGGAUCUGAAUGGCACAAGGUCUGGACCAUCCCGGAAGCUAUGCUGCCCUUUCCAGACCACACCUGUCAGCCCUCUUAGAAAUUGCUUCAGCUGAAGAGAGCUGCUUUGCUCAGUCAGGUCCCCUCUGGGCAGCCAGUGUCCACUGACUAAUUGACACCCAAUCCUAU
Molecule: long non-coding RNA, 729 nt
Filed under: Equus caballus (horse)
Lineage: Eukaryota; Metazoa; Chordata; Mammalia; Perissodactyla; Equidae
Description: lncRNA (ENSECAG00000051394.1)
Source: RNAcentral